This 240-nucleotide ribosomal RNA is filed under the name Escherichia coli. RNAcentral's name for it is "partial 16S ribosomal RNA". It matches the Rfam family "Bacterial small subunit ribosomal RNA", at positions 1294 to 1533 of the family's 1533-position model. RNAcentral also lists the same sequence under 7 other names. The record is from RNAcentral. Lineage: Bacteria; Pseudomonadati; Pseudomonadota; Gammaproteobacteria; Enterobacterales; Enterobacteriaceae.
CGGAUUGGAGUCUGCAACUCGACUCCAUGAAGUCGGAAUCGCUAGUAAUCGUGGAUCAGAAUGCCACGGUGAAUACGUUCCCGGGCCUUGUACACACCGCCCGUCACACCAUGGGAGUGGGUUGCAAAAGAAGUAGGUAGCUUAACCUUCGGGAGGGCGCUUACCACUUUGUGAUUCAUGACUGGGGUGAAGUCGUAACAAGGUAACCGUAGGGGAACCUGCGGUUGGAUCACCUCCUUA